Molecule: ribosomal RNA, 207 nt
Filed under: uncultured bacterium
Lineage: Bacteria
Description: partial 16S ribosomal RNA
Rfam family: Bacterial small subunit ribosomal RNA
Source: RNAcentral
CGGAUUGAAGGCUGAAAUUCGCCUUCCAUGAAGCCGGAAUUGCUAGUAAUGGCAGGUCAGCAUACUGCCGUGAAUACGUUCCCGGGCCUUGUACACACCGCCCGUCACACCAUGAGAGUUGGGAAUACCCGAAGUCAGUAGUCCAACCACGUGAGGACGCUGCCGAAGGUAGGAUUGGCGACUGGGGUGAAGUCGUAACAAGGUACC